CUUUGUGCUGCGCGGGGUGCUCACUCAAUCUUGGCUACGUGUACAGAUGCACGCCCAAGAAUCUUGAUUACAAGAGAGACUUGUUUUGCCUCAGUGUUGAAGCCAUUGAAAGUUAUGUUUUAGGGUCCUCUGAAAAGCAAAUUGUGUCAGAAGAUAAAGAGCUUUUUAAUCUUGAAAGCAGAGUUGAAAUAGAAAAGUCUCUAACACAGAUGGAAGAUGUCUUGAAAGCAUUACAAAUGAAGCUGUGGGAGGCCGAAUCCAAAUUGUCCUUUGCCACUUGUAAAAGCUGAACUCUAGUCUGUGUCCUCCAUUCUGCCCCCGCCCUUCCUCCCCUUAUUUGUUAAAUGAAGCAACAUAGUGAGACGUCGUCUCUACAAAAAAAAAAAGAAAAAAAAAAUUAGCCAGGCAUGCGAAACGCUGAGGUGGGAGGAUCAGAUGAGCUUGGGAGGUUGAGGCUGCAGUGAGCCUUGGUCAUGCCACUACUGUGUUCUAGUCUGGGCAACAGAGUGAGACCUUCUCUCAAAAAAAAAACCCAAAAUUGUAGAAUUACUUCUAUAGCUAUAUUUUAUGAUAAAGAAGUGAUUGUUUCUCAAAAUCGCAUUUUAAAGACGUUUUAUGGUACUUGUUGGAAUUGGGACUUAGGAGUUUUGAUUUUGAUAAGAAACUGGGAUAAUUUUCUGAACUUUUUUUCCUCUGUAUCACAUUUAUUUACUAUUUUUAAAAACUUUGACAUUUAACACUUGGGACAACAUUUAUUAUAAAUGAUAAGAAAAAUCUUAGAGGUUUGUCUACCCACAGUGUCAUGGAAUCUUCUCUGAAAACUAAUCCAUAAAGUUCCCUGGAGAAAUUGGUCAGAAUGAUCUGUCAGAACCAUUUGAAAACUUGCUCAAGAGCAGUUGCUUAUAUAUAGUAGGAUUUUACUUUUUCCUGCUUAUGUACUACUAUAUGCUUAAAAAACCUGGAGGAAUACUUACCAAAGAGGAGUAACCAUCUCUGAGGGUGGGAUUCUGGGGGAAUUUUUGUUUUUUUCUGUUUUCUAUAAUGUGAAACUUUUGUAGUAUGUAUUUUUCUAAUUG
This 1076-nucleotide long non-coding RNA is filed under the name Homo sapiens (human). RNAcentral's name for it is "long non-coding RNA NONHSAT191391.1". Lineage: Eukaryota; Metazoa; Chordata; Mammalia; Primates; Hominidae. The record is from RNAcentral.